RNAcentral lists this long non-coding RNA (7839 nucleotides) under Medicago truncatula (barrel medic). RNAcentral describes it as "long non-coding RNA (MTRU_LNC001855)". Lineage: Eukaryota; Viridiplantae; Streptophyta; Magnoliopsida; Fabales; Fabaceae. The record is from RNAcentral.
GCACAAGCUGUUCAGGAGGCGAGCGAUGAACUUCUGUACGGGCAGAAAACUGGUUUUUCCCCAAAAUCCCAUUUUUCUUCAAUUCACUCCCCAAAUUGGUUUACAGAUGUGAGUUAACUUACUGUAUGCACUCAGAACCUAUUUCUAACAUCAAAAUCAUCAUUCCAACUCCAAAAUCAUCUUUUCCUCAUAAAACCCCAAAAUCCCCAAUUCUCACCAAAACUCUGUUAAACACAAAAUCAGAAAUUAAUAGCUAUACUACUGAAGUAAACAUUACCCUUACCUUAAAUUUGCAGAAGAAAAUGCACAACAAUAAAGAUUCUUGAGUUCUACUUGCUCUUCUCUCCUUUCUCCCAAAACUGUCAGUUCUUACGUACAAUGCUUUUUAACUUCUAUUUUCCUAACUUCCCACUUACUUAACUCUUUUUAAUUCUCAUUUUACUCCCCCUUAAUUCUAUUAAAUUCUAUUAACUCCCCAAACACCAAAAUAAUUAAUAUUUCACCCUUAUUCUAAUUAUUAUUAAAAUAAACCAUAUAAUAAAAUAAACACACCACAUAAAUCACCAAAAAUCAUAUAUAUAUAUAUAUAUAUAUAUAUAUAUAUAUAUAUAUAUAUAUAUAUACUCCACAUAAAUCAAAAAUAAAUAACACAACGAUUAGAGUGUUACAACUCUCCCCAAAUUAUAGAAUUUCGUCGUCGAAAUCUUACCUCAAUCAAACAACUCCGGAUACGACUCCCGCAUCUUACUCUCCAGCUCCCAAGUCAAACUUUCACCAGUCGCUCCACCCCAAACGACUCUCACAAGAGGUAUCUCAUUACCUCUCAAAGACUUCACCUUUCUAUCAUCAAUCCUCAAUGGCAUAGUCUCAACUGUCAGGUUGUCUCUAACCUGCACGUCAUCCCUUGGAAUCACAUGUGAAGGAUCCGCUACAUACUUCCGAAGCUGCGACACAUGAAACACAUCAUGCAAGUUCGAAAGAUGUGUUGGAAACCCAUCCUAUAUGCCACUGUUCCAACCCUCUCUGAAAUCUGAUACGAACCAAUAAACUUAGGAGUCAACUUCCUCGACUUCAAUGCACGUCCAACACCCGUCAAAGGAGUGACCCUCAGAAAAACAUGAUCACCCUCCUGAAACUCAAGAGCCUUUCUUCGCUUGUCAUGGUAACUCUUCUGUCGACUCUGCGAAGCUUUCAUCUUUUCCCUUAUCAACCUGACUUUCUCAGUAGUCUCAUGAACCAAAUUCGGUCCCAACACAACACUCUCACCUGACUCAAACCAGCAUAAAGGAGUCCUACACCUCCGGCCAUACAAAGCUUCGAACGGUGCCAUACCAAUACUUGAAUGAUAGCUAUUGUUAUAUGUGAACUCAAUCAAUGGUAGGUGACUAUCCCAAGCUCCACCUUGCUCAAGUACACACACCCUCAACAAAUCUUCCAAUGAUUGGAUCGUCCUCUCCGACUGACCAUCUGUCUGAGGAUGAUAAGUCGAACUCAACCUCAACUUCGAACCCAAAGCAUCCUGUAAACUCUUCCAGAACCUAGAAGUGAACCUCGGAUCUUUAUCCGACACAAUACUUGACGGUACACCGUGCAACUUCACAAUACUAUGAACAUAAAUCUCUGCCAACUGUGCUACCGGAUAACUGAUAUUGAUAGGAAUGAAGUGUGCCGACUUCGUCAACCGGUCGACAACAACCCAAAUAGCGUCAUGCCCUCUCGGAGUGUUCGGUAGACUCGUCACGAAAUCCAUAGAGAUACUGUCCCACUUCCACUCCGGUACAUCCAACGGUGUCAUCAACCCUGUAGGCUUCUGAUGCUCAACCUUGGACUUCUGACAAAUCAAGCAAGCAUAAACAAACUGAGCAACAUCUCUUUUCAAACCGGACCACCAAAACAGUUUCUUCAGAUCAUGGUACAUCUUUGUAGCCCCCGGGUGAAUACUCAACCUACUCUUGUGACUCUCUUCAAGAAUCAACUUCUUCAAAUCAUCGUUGUCAGAAAUACAAACUCUUUCUCUGAACCUCAGGAAACCCUGAUCAUCAACCUUAAAAUCACUAUCCUCAGCGUCACUACCAGUAGUCAUCAAAUCAACAAAUUUCAAAUCUGCUUUCUGAGCUUCUCGGAUACUGUUCAAGAAAUUACUAACAAUCUUCAGCAUCCCCAACUGUAUACUCUGAGGUGACAAUUCACAGACCAGACUCAAGUCUCUAAACUGUUCCAACAAUUCAAAUUCUUUUACCAUUAAAGCAGACAUAUGCAAUGUUUUCCUGCUCAAUGCAUCAGCAACCACAUUGGCCUUACCAGGAUGGUAAUUCAAGCCAAAAUCGUAAUCCUUCAGUAACUCUAACCAUCUCCUCUGCCUCAUGUUCAACUGACGGUAAUCAAUGCACAGUCUCAUACUACCAUCCUUCUUCUUAACCAACAACACCGGUGCUCCCCAAGGUGAAACACUGGGUCUUACAAACUUCUUAUCCAACAAGUCCUUCAACUGUUUCUUCAAUUCAGCUAACUCAGAAGCUGACAUACGGUAUGGUGCCAUCGACACCGGCUUUGUUCCUGGAACAAGGUCAAUUGAAAAUUCAACCUCCCUCUCUGGUGGCACAUCAGGAAUCUCAUCAGGAAACACUUUUGGGAACUCAUUCACUACAGGUAACCUGCCAAUCACAGCUUGAUUUUCUACGGAUAAAUAAGCCAUCAGAGAAUACAUCAGAAUCCCGUCCCGUUCAAACUGUUUCAUCUGUUUUGUAGACAAAAGCUCAACCUCACCUUCUUCUUCAGCAGAAGAAAAAUGCACCGUCUUACUAAAGCAGUUGAUAUGAACUCGGUUAUACUCUAACCAGUUCAUUCCAAAAAUAACAUCCAUACCCGACAACGGCAAGCAAACUAGAUCAACCACAAAAUCUCUACCAAACAUAGAUAUAGGAUACCCCAAACAAACAAGAGAAGUAGUUACUGAACCCUUAGCUGGAGUUUCAACAACCAUUUCUCCUUUCAUAUCAGAUACAAUCAAACCCAACUUAUAUGCACUUUCUAAAGCAAUGAAACAAUGAGUAGCACCAGUAUCUAUAAUAGCAAUUAAAGGAGUACUAUUAAAGAAACAAGUACCUCUGAUAAGUCGGUCCUCAUUGGUAGUCUGCGUACCAGUCAAAGCAAACACCUUUCCACCAGUUCUAACCUUCUUCGGCUCAGUACACUGCGAACUGAUAUGCCCCUCUUCAUUGCAGUUGUAGUAGACAAUAUCCCCACGCUUGCAUUCAGCUAAAUUGUGUCCCUUCUGACCACACCUGAAGCACUUCCUCUCAUCUCUACCACAAACAUUGCUCUUGUUGCCUUUUUCACCACACUUGUAACAAACAAUCUCAGAAGGAGCAUCUCUCCUCUUAGGCCUCCUAUCAUCAUUCAUCUUCUGCUUUCCUUUGUCAGCAGGAGCACUUUAAGGCUUAGGACGACUCUGCUGUCCCUUGCCCCUCCUCUCACUCAUUAUCUUGUAAUGAGCUUUGGUGUCUUCUUUGUAAAUCCUGCAACUGUUUACCAACUCAGAAAAGACUCUGAUCUGCUGAUACCCAAUAGCUCUCUUAAUAUCAGCUCUCAACCCAUUCUCAAAUUUGAUACACCUGGCGAACUCAGCUGUCUCCACACUGUAAUGAGGGUAGAACUUAGCAAGUUCCACAAACUUUGCAGCAUACUCCGUGACGGACAUGUCACCCUGUUUCAACUCCAGAAACUCAAUUUCUUUCUUACCUCUGACAUCCUCCGGAAAAUACCUGCUCAGAAACUCUUUCCUGAACAUAGCCCAAGUUACCACAACAUCAUCCUGUUCCAGCAUAGGCAACAAACUCACCCACCAGUCGUCAGCCUCCUCCGCUAACACGUGCGUCCCAAACCGCACCUUCUGUGUCUCAGAACACUGCAUGACCCUGAAAAUCCUUUCAAUCUCCUUCAACCAUUUCUGAGCAUCGUCAGGAUCAUAUCUACCCUUGAACGUUGGUGGAUGAUUUCUCAAGAAAGUUACCAACCUUCUGGAUCCAUCACUACCAGUCUCCGCCUUAGGUUGCUGUUGAACAGCUUGAGCUACAGACUCAAGCGCAGCAACAAGAGCAGAAUCACUACUUCCAGUCAUCUUGAAGUUCUACACGAGAAACAACAACUCAGAACAACAACAAAAAGCAACAUUAAAGUUGACACUCUAUCCUAGGUGGCUCAACACGACUCUACUACUUGGCCGGACGGACCAACCUGCUCUGAUACCAAUUGUAACACCCCGUUACCCAAAAGUAAUUAAAUAAUAAUUAAUUCAACAUCAGAGUUCAACCCAAACGGGCAUGCUACACUACAUUCAAAAUUUCUUAAAUAGCAUAUGAAACUAUUUAAUUAAACAAUUUUCAAACAUCGUUAAACUUGCAGCGGAUUAUUAUCAACCAUCAACAACUGUUUAAAACCUCCAAAUAAUAUCUUGGCAUUAAGCCUAAACAACAACAUAAUCAACCAACAAAGGGCCACAUCAUCAAGUUUCAAAAAUUGAUACAUAGGAAGGAAAACAAUUCAUAAUAAUAAAUCCCAUCCCACGUAUCAGAGCCCUAGACACGACUCUUGAGCCACCACCGACUACUCAGGAUCACCUGCAAGUUACCCAUAUAAAGGGCAACAUUUUCAAGCAGAAGGGGUGAGAUUCACAACAAUAAAAUAUAGAUAUUAAAAUCUUCAAUUGAAUCUAACACCCUAUAACAUCAAUAUAUCAUCUUGUAAAUAUAAGCAUAUAAUUCACAAGCAACAACAACAUCAUCAAAAUCCACUCAUCACAAUAUGUAUAUAAAUGUAUAUAUUCAUCAACACAUCAUCAUCAUCAAUGUGGCAACUACAACCAACAACUAAGAUUCAUGCAUGACAUGACAACACCACUAAGACUCCUCAAAAUAUGCAAUUAUGCAUGUGGUACCAAACAGGACCGAAGCCCUCACCGCUUUUGAAUGGUUAAAACAUUCAUCAGGACCGAAGCCCUCACCGCUGUGAACAACUAGUGCUCCAGGACAUGAGUCCUCUCCGCUGUUUAUGCAUAUGCAAUGGACCUACUUGUGUAUAUCUACAUACAACUUGACCAUGCAUACAUACUCCAUAUGACUCCACUUUUACAACAUGUAUGGUUAAUAAAUAAAGCAUACAUUUCCAACCAUCACAACAUCAACAACCAGCAAUCCAGCAAUCCAGAAUAUUGCACAAUUACAUAAAACUAUGCUCAACACGAAAACAUUAAUCACUACCAUUCACGUAAGUAAAAUCAGCACACAAGAACAGGGUAGCUCGCCUCGCGAGCACAACUGCUCGCUAUGGCGAGUUCACAUAACUGGUUGCUCGCCAUGGCGAGUUCAAGGCGAACUCGAGGCGAGUGAAAAAUAGAUGCUCUCGGGAAUUUUGACAUUUUCUCACUCAAACCUCAAUUCUAAGCUCCCUAUUCAUCUUUUUAACCUAAAACUUGCUCCAGUCAUCAUCAAAAUCAUUUAGGUACAUUAAACCAUCCCCAAAACAUCUUAUAACAACAAUUGAAAAAUCAAGUUUUGAACUGGCUUGCUCGCCAUGGCGAGUUGGUCUGCUCGCGAGGCGAGCCAUGAAGUUGCUCACUCGCGAGGCGAGCACAAGCUGUUCACGAGGCGAGCGAUGAACUUCUGUACGAGCAGAAAAUUGGUUUUUCCCCAAAAUCCCAUUUUUCUUCAAUUCACUCCCCAAAUUGGUUUACAGAUGUGAGUUAACUUACUGUAUGCACUCAGAACCUAUUUCUAACAUCAAAAUCAUCAUUGCAACUCCAAAAUCAUCUUUUCCUCAUAAAACCCCAAAAUCCCCAAUUCUCACCAAAACUCUGUUAAACACAAAAUCAUAAAUUAAUAGCUAUACUACUGAAGUAAAUCUCACCCUUACCUUAAAUUUGCAGAAGAAAAUGCACAACAAUAAAGAUUCUUGAGUUCUACUUGCUCUUCUCUCCUUUCUCCCAAAACUGUCAGUUCUUACGUACAAUGCUUUCUAACUUCUAUUUUCCUAACUUCCCACUUACUUAACUCUUUUUAAUUCUCAUUUUACUCCCCCUUAAUUCUAUUUAAUUCUAUUAACUCCCCAAACACCAAAAUAAUUAAUAUUUCACCCUUAUUCUAAUUAUUAUUAAAAUAAACCAUAUAAUAAAAUAAACACACCACAUAAAUCACCAAAAAUCAUAUAUAUAUACACUCCAUAUAAAUCAAAAAUAAAUAACACAACGAUUAGAGUGUUACAGAAAAUACGAGGGAAAAUGAGAAAAUCUUUCAAUUUUUUUAAAAGAGUAGUUUUUUAGAAAAUGAUAAAUUAACACAUAUGAUUACUAUAAUAAUAUAACAACAUAUGUUAAAUUUGAAUAAUUCAUAUAAACCCUCAACUCCCCCCUCUCAAUAAAAAAAAAAAAAACAUAUCCAAUGCAAUUUUUUAGUUCUCCAAAGUUAUGAGGGUUUAGUAUUAUGAAGAAGUUAAAUCCCAAAGUCUUCCCCUCCCAUUUUCCUCUAUUUCUUUCACUUGUUCAAUUCUUUUUUCUUAAAAUUUAUCCUUCAAUCCCCUCCAAAAUCGCAAACAAAGCCGUAAGACAUGACUCAAAAUCAUUACCAGUUGACAAGUGAACGAGCCUCCACUACCGUUGCUCCAUCUUUAUCUAAAAAAAGAGUCAGAUAUGUAUGAAGUUUCUGCCCUUGAUCACUUAGCUUCUAAGGUGGACGCGUUGUUGAAACAAAAUUGGUUUGUACAAUUCCUCUAAGAUUUUGAUGAUAAUAAAGUAUUAAAGAACAAUUGGAUAUGCUAAUAUAUGUUAGUAUGCAUGACCAUAUAUUAAAUUUUAACAAGGUCUUAACAUGUAUAAGAGCAUCGAAUGCACAAUAGAAGCUCAAAGACUAUGGUAGAAGAUCUAAAGAAAGUUUAACCAGAAGUCAACACCUUGUUUGAUUGAUUGCACAUUAAGCCAUUCUGCAAUGUAAAUAUUUAUCAUGGUUUUAUCUCUUUGACUUUUUAUGGUAAGGUUUUUAAUGAAGACAAUUGUUAUAUGUUUGUUAUGAUUGUACUCUUGAUUUUCAGCCUAAUCCUCUCAAGUUCUCUUAAUUUUAUUUUAUUUUAACAAAUUUAUUGGGGUUCUGUAAAUGGCAAGCAGGGUUCUUGGAAUGCCGACACAAUUGAAAUGUCAUAUUUUUUCCUGGAUACAUUUGCACUUUAAUUAUUUCUUAAAAAAUUAUUCCAUUUAUUUUGAUUUUUUGUGUGAUAUCUUCUUAAGAAAAUGAAUGUAAGAAUACUUGCAUAUCACAAUAAUACACCUUAAGGUUGUAAUAAAAUUGAAAGACUUGAGGAAUAUUAUUAUAAUUGUGCAAACAUUAUAACAUACAUAUAAUUUCUUACGUUUAGAGGUAGCAUAAUUAUUCUCUGGACAUCUCUAGAUAAUAAUCAUCGUCAGACAUUUCCCCUAAAUCGUACUCACAUAUUUUAUUAUUACACUUAAAUGAGUAAUGUGACAUCUCUGGACACUCAUCGUCAGACAAGCAAGGAAUACCAUCUGCAUUGUCAAUAUUUUUUUAAUAAAUGUUGUUAAAAUAUUGUGUAUAAGAUAAAUUAGAAGAUUCAAAAAUGGUUUGAAAAAUUACAUACCUCUAACAAAUAGAGAACUAAAGAUGAUCAAAGCAUAAAUCAAAGCAUAAACAAACAUGAUAAUAUGAGCCAUAUUUUUCCUCCUUUGUAUGUAUUAAACAUAUUUUUUUUGAUUGCUUUAUAAGUAAAUAUUUUAUGCUUUGGUAACUUCAAUUAAACAAUUUUUAACACUUAGGAAUUGAAAGAAGCCAUUUAUUA